This 2904-nucleotide ribosomal RNA is filed under the name Enterobacter cloacae complex sp. I6. RNAcentral describes it as "23S ribosomal RNA". It matches the Rfam family "Bacterial large subunit ribosomal RNA". Lineage: Bacteria; Pseudomonadati; Pseudomonadota; Gammaproteobacteria; Enterobacterales; Enterobacteriaceae. The record is from RNAcentral.
GGUUAAGCGACUAAGCGUACACGGUGGAUGCCCUGGCAGUCAGAGGCGAUGAAGGACGUGCUAAUCUGCGAAAAGCGACGGCGAGGUGAUAUGAACCUUUGACCCGUCGAUGUCCGAAUGGGGAAACCCAGUGUGUUUCGACACACUAUCGUUAACUGAAUACAUAGGUUAACGAGGCGAACCGGGGGAACUGAAACAUCUAAGUACCCCGAGGAAAAGAAAUCAACCGAGAUUCCCCCAGUAGCGGCGAGCGAACGGGGAGCAGCCCGGAGUCUGAAUCAGCUUGUGUGUUAGUGGAAGCGUCUGGAAAGUCGCACGGUACAGGGUGACAGUCCCGUACACGAAAAUGCACAGGUUGUGAACUCGAAGAGUAGGGCGGGACACGUGGUAUCCUGUCUGAAUAUGGGGGGACCAUCCUCCAAGGCUAAAUACUCCUGACUGACCGAUAGUGAACCAGUACCGUGAGGGAAAGGCGAAAAGAACCCCGGCGAGGGGAGUGAAAAAGAACCUGAAACCGUGUACGUACAAGCAGUGGGAGCACCUUCGGGUGUGACUGCGUACCUUUUGUAUAAUGGGUCAGCGACUUAUAUUCUGUAGCAAGGUUAACCGUAUAGGGGAGCCGCAGGGAAACCGAGUCUUAACUGGGCGUUAAGUUGCAGGGUAUAGACCCGAAACCCGGUGAUCUAGCCAUGGGCAGGUUGAAGGUUGGGUAACACUAACUGGAGGACCGAACCGACUAAUGUUGAAAAAUUAGCGGAUGACCUGUGGCUGGGGGUGAAAGGCCAAUCAAACCGGGAGAUAGCUGGUUCUCCCCGAAAGCUAUUUAGGUAGCGCCUCGUGAACUCAUCUUCGGGGGUAGAGCACUGUUUCGGCUAGGGGGCCAUCCCGGCUUACCAACCCGAUGCAAACUACGAAUACCGAAGAAUGUUAUCACGGGAGACACACGGCGGGUGCUAACGUCCGUCGUGAAGAGGGAAACAACCCAGACCGCCAGCUAAGGUCCCAAAGUCAUGGUUAAGUGGGAAACGAUGUGGGAAGGCACAGACAGCCAGGAUGUUGGCUUAGAAGCAGCCAUCAUUUAAAGAAAGCGUAAUAGCUCACUGGUCGAGUCGGCCUGCGCGGAAGAUGUAACGGGGCUAAACCAUGCACCGAAGCUGCGGCAGCGACGCUUAUGCGUUGUUGGGUAGGGGAGCGUUCUGUAAGCCGUCGAAGGUGUGCUGUGAGGCAUGCUGGAGGUAUCAGAAGUGCGAAUGCUGACAUAAGUAACGAUAAAGCGGGUGAAAAGCCCGCUCGCCGGAAGACCAAGGGUUCCUGUCCAACGUUAAUCGGGGCAGGGUGAGUCGACCCCUAAGGCGAGGCCGAAAGGCGUAGUCGAUGGGAAACAGGUUAAUAUUCCUGUACUUGGUGUUACUGCGAAGGGGGGACGGAGAAGGCUAUGUCAGCCGGGCGACGGUUGUCCCGGUUUAAGCGUGUAGGUGUGUGUUCCAGGCAAAUCCGGUUCACUUUAACACUGAGGCGUGAUGACGAGGCACUACGGUGCUGAAGUGAUAAAUGCCCUGCUUCCAGGAAAAGCCUCUAAGCAUCAGGUAACACGAAAUCGUACCCCAAACCGACACAGGUGGUCAGGUAGAGAAUACCAAGGCGCUUGAGAGAACUCGGGUGAAGGAACUAGGCAAAAUGGUGCCGUAACUUCGGGAGAAGGCACGCUGAUAUGUAGGUGAAGUCCCUGCGGACGGAGCUGAAAUCAGUCGAAGAUACCAGCUGGCUGCAACUGUUUAUUAAAAACACAGCACUGUGCAAACACGAAAGUGGACGUAUACGGUGUGACGCCUGCCCGGUGCCGGAAGGUUAAUUGAUGGGGUUAGCGGCAACGCGAAGCUCUUGAUCGAAGCCCCGGUAAACGGCGGCCGUAACUAUAACGGUCCUAAGGUAGCGAAAUUCCUUGUCGGGUAAGUUCCGACCUGCACGAAUGGCGUAAUGAUGGCCAGGCUGUCUCCACCCGAGACUCAGUGAAAUUGAACUCGCUGUGAAGAUGCAGUGUACCCGCGGCAAGACGGAAAGACCCCGUGAACCUUUACUAUAGCUUGACACUGAACACUGGUCCUUGAUGUGUAGGAUAGGUGGGAGGCUUUGAAGCGUGGACGCCAGUCUGCGUGGAGCCGUCCUUGAAAUACCACCCUUUAAUGGCUGGUGUUCUAACGUGGACCCGUAAUCCGGGUUGCGGACAGUGUCUGGUGGGUAGUUUGACUGGGGCGGUCUCCUCCCAAAGAGUAACGGAGGAGCACGAAGGUUAGCUAAUCCUGGUCGGACAUCAGGAGGUUAGUGCAAUGGCAUAAGCUAGCUUGACUGCGAGAGUGACGGCUCGAGCAGGUGCGAAAGCAGGUCAUAGUGAUCCGGUGGUUCUGAAUGGAAGGGCCAUCGCUCAACGGAUAAAAGGUACUCCGGGGAUAACAGGCUGAUACCGCCCAAGAGUUCAUAUCGACGGCGGUGUUUGGCACCUCGAUGUCGGCUCAUCACAUCCUGGGGCUGAAGUAGGUCCCAAGGGUAUGGCUGUUCGCCAUUUAAAGUGGUACGCGAGCUGGGUUUAGAACGUCGUGAGACAGUUCGGUCCCUAUCUGCCGUGGGCGCUGGAGAAUUGAGGGGGGCUGCUCCUAGUACGAGAGGACCGGAGUGGACGCAUCACUGGUGUUCGGGUUGUCAUGCCAAUGGCACUGCCCGGUAGCUAAAUGCGGAAGAGAUAAGUGCUGAAAGCAUCUAAGCACGAAACUUGCCCCGAGAUGAGUUCUCCCUGAGACUUUAAGUCUCCUGAAGGAACGUUGAAGACGACGACGUUGAUAGGCCGGGUGUGUAAGCGCAGCGAUGCGUUGAGCUAACCGGUACUAAUGAACCGUGAGGCUUAACCUU